This 450-nucleotide ribosomal RNA is filed under the name uncultured bacterium. Its description in RNAcentral is "bacterial SSU rRNA". It matches the Rfam family "Bacterial small subunit ribosomal RNA", at positions 328 to 795 of the family's 1533-position model. The record is from RNAcentral.
GAGCCAGACUCCUACGGGAGGCAGCAGUGGGGAAUAUUGCACAAUGGGGGAAACCCUGAUGCAGCGACGCCGCGUGAGUGAAGAAGUAUUUCGGUAUGUAAAGCUCUAUCAGCAGGGAAGAAAAUGACGGUACCUGAGUAAGAAGCCCCGGCUAACUACGUGCCAGCAGCCGCGGUAAUACGUAGGGGGCAAGCGUUAUCCGGAUUUACUGGGUGUAAAGGGAGCGUAGACGGCGAUACAAGUCUGAAGUGAAAGCCCGGGGCUCAACCCCGGGACUGCUUUGGAAACUGUGUUGCUGGAGUGCUGGAGAGGCAAGCGGAAUUCCUAGUGUAGCGGUGAAAUGCGUAGAUAUUAGGAGGAACACCAGUGGCGAAGGCGACUUACUGGACUGUAACUGACGUUGAGACACGAAAGUGUGGGGAGCAAACAGGAUUAGAUACCCCAGUACCU